UGGGGAAUAUUGGACAAUGGGCGCAAGCCUGAUCCAGCCAUGCCGCGUGAGUGAUGAAGGCCCUAGGGUUGUAAAGCUCUUUCACCGGUGAAGAUAAUGACGGUAACCGGAGAAGAAGCCCCGGCUAACUUCGUGCCAGCAGCCGCGGUAAUACGAAGGGGGCUAGCGUGGUUCGGAUUUACUGGGCGUAAAGCGCACGUAGGCGGACUAUUAAGUCAGGGGUGAAAUCCCGGGGCUCAACCCCGGAACUGCCUUUGAUACUGGUAGUCUUGAGUUCGAGAGAGGUGAGUGGAAUUCCGAGUGUAGAGGUGAAAUUCGUAGAUAUUCGGAGGAACACCAGUGGCGAAGGCGGCUCACUGGCUCGACACUGACGCUGAGGUGCGAAAGCGUGGGGAGCAAACAGG
Molecule: ribosomal RNA, 404 nt
Filed under: Actinomycetes bacterium
Lineage: Bacteria; Bacillati; Actinomycetota; Actinomycetes
Description: Actinobacteria bacterium partial 16S ribosomal RNA
Rfam family: Bacterial small subunit ribosomal RNA
Source: RNAcentral